Molecule: ribosomal RNA, 434 nt
Filed under: uncultured bacterium
Lineage: Bacteria
Description: partial 16S ribosomal RNA
Rfam family: Bacterial small subunit ribosomal RNA
Source: RNAcentral
GGCGAACGCUGGCGGCAGGCCUAACACAUGCAAGUCGAACGAACCUUUCGGGGUUAGUGGCGGACGGGUGAGUAACACGUGGGAACGUGCCUUUAGGUUCGGAAUAACUCAUGGAAACUUGUGCUAAUACCGAAUGUGCUCUUCGGGGGAAAGAUUAAUCGCCUUUAGAGCGGCCCGCGUCUGUUUAGCUAGUUGGUUGAGGUAAUGGCUCACCAAGGCGACGAUCAGUAGCUGGUCUGAGAGGAUGAUCAGCCACAUUGGGAAUGAGACACGGCCCAAAAUGCUACGGGAGGGAGCAGUGGGGAAUAUUGAGGAAUGGGCGAAAGCCUGACGAAGCCAUGCCGCGUGAAUGAUGAAGGUGUUAGGAUAGUAAAAUUCUUUAACCGGGGACGAUAAUGACGGUAACCGGAGAAGAAGCCCCGGCUAACUACGUG